UUGCUUUAGCAGCAUAUUUGCUAACUUUGGAAGAAUACAGGUAAGAUUAGCAUGACUCUGUGCAAGGAUUACACACAAAUUCAUGAAGUAUUCCAUAUUUUU
This is a small nuclear RNA of Sciurus vulgaris (Eurasian red squirrel), 102 nucleotides long. The record is from Ensembl. NCBI's taxonomy places the organism in Eukaryota, Metazoa, Chordata, Mammalia, Rodentia, Sciuridae.